RNAcentral lists this ribosomal RNA (496 nucleotides) under uncultured bacterium. RNAcentral describes it as "partial 16S ribosomal RNA". It matches the Rfam family "Bacterial small subunit ribosomal RNA", at positions 29 to 507 of the family's 1533-position model. The record is from RNAcentral.
AUGAACGCUAGCGGCGUGCCUAAUACAUGCCAGUCGAGCGAACAGACGAGGAGCUUGCUCCUCUGACGUUAGCGGCGGACGGGUGAGUAACACGUGGAUAACCUACCUAUAAGACUGGGAUAACUUCGGGAAACCGGAGCUAAUACCGGAUAAUAUAUUGAACCGCAUGGUUCAAUAGUGAAAGACGGUUUUGCUGUCACUUAUAGAUGGAUCCGCGCCGCAUUAGCUAGUUGGUAAGGUAACGGCUUACCAAGGCAACGAUGCGUAGCCGACCUGAGAGGGUGAUCGGCCACACUGGAACUGAGACACGGUCCAGACUCCUACGGGAGGCAGCAGUAGGGAAUCUUCCGCAAUGGGCGAAAGCCUGACGGAGCAACGCCGCGUGAGUGAUGAAGCUCUUCGGAUCGUAAAACUCUGUUAUUAGGGAAGAACAAAUGUGUAAGUAACUAUGCACGUCUUGACGGUACCUAAUCAGAAAGCCACGGCUAACUACGUG